GAUCCAGAGAGACACACCCAGCGGCAGCCGUUGACUCCCUCCACCCUUGCUUCCCUCUCAACCAUCUCACCUCCAUCUGUCCAGUGGAGCCAGAUGUCCCACCUUCUUGGGAGAAAUUAAUUGAGGCUCAUUUCCAGGACAGAGGGGCAAGCUGGGUCUGAGGAGCCAAGCAGAAAAACUUCCCAAAAUCACUGGGUGGGGAGGGGUCAGAGACUUACUGCUGCCCCAGCUGUUCUGACUCUGCCCCCAGCUUUUGGCCCCACCCUUUUAAAGCACCUUCAGAGGUUCCCAAUGGUGACAGUAAACAAGUCUCCACUGUCCUGGCCAUCUCUGCUGUGUUCACCCUACUCCUGAUCUUUCUGGCUGCUCAGGGACUGACAGCCAAGAUGUGAGGCUGUGAUGAGCAGGAACAGGGAGGCCUGGAGCCCCCAGCCAUUGUCAUCACUUCCCUGAUCUGCCUAAAUUCUGCCCAGCAGUCCGUGAAAAUGGUUUGCUGAUGACAUAUGUAAGGACUUUAACUCCCCUCAAGCAAUCUGCUCAUCUCAAAGGAUUUGCAAUGAUCAAGAGGCGUCCUGUGAAUGCAGUUUGCAAAGGACUUAGGCACACAGCAUCUCCUUUGUUCUCACCACAAGGCUGCCGGGUGUGCAGAUGUGAGGAUUAUUUCAAUGGUGAAGAAGCAUCCUGAGAGGUUACGUAGUUCAACUAAUGUCACACCAAGAGGAGAGCAUCUGGGCAUUUGGACAUGGAAGGUGUGGGGCACAAGCAUCUCAUGGCCAGGGAACGGGGGAGGAGCAUCUCAGAGCUGCAUCAGAGUUCAUGCUGGUCCUAGGACAAGAGUCAAGCACACCCUGCUUUCACCAGCUGCUGGUAGCUUUCACUCAGGAUCCCAAAUGCGAAAUAGGUCUUGAAAGGGAUAUCAGACACAUGUCUGACCAUGCGUCUCACCAUUACAUCAGUCUUUGGCCACUGUAGGAGCACCAUUGCCCAUCGCCAUAUUAAAAGUGGCCACCUGCAGAGUCUUCCUUCCUUAGAGUCUAUGCAGAAGCCCAAGAAACAGGCUGCAGCCCCAGUAAUCUGGGGCUACUCUAUACCUCUCUGGAUGAACUUAACCUGCCACAUUCCUGGGGGUAAGAACUUCAAGAACUGACAUGUUCACUCCCUCCAAUAUCUGCCUUCCUUCCUUUUCUGACUUUGGAUAUGUAAAGUGAUGAUCUUCAGGCUUGGCUCUCAUCUUUAUUGUAUUAUAGCCUAUCCUAUCCCACUGAGCUUUUCUUUCUUCCACUGCAUAUCCAACCACUCCUCUCUUAGUGGUCCUAGACAGGAGGGGUCUUCUUUGCUGUAGAAGAAAGCCUGUGAUCUCAGCCUGUAGGUGCAACUCUUAGUCUGCUCAAUGGGGCCUACAGGAACCUUAGAAAAUCUUUUCUCUCAUAAUAGAGGCUGACUCUCAAGGUUCUUAUUAAACAACAACAAUUU
Homo sapiens (human) is the source of this 1473-nucleotide long non-coding RNA. Ensembl annotates it as long intergenic non-protein coding RNA 1723. The record is from Ensembl. NCBI's taxonomy places the organism in Eukaryota, Metazoa, Chordata, Mammalia, Primates, Hominidae.